UGAUCAUAGUUAAAAUACUACUUUUCAUAUUUAUAUAGUUUGGUAACAUAAUUUUUAGAGGUUGAGGGAGCGAUCUAUAAAAAGUUAUCCUCUUAAACUUUUAUAGAUUGAGAGAGUGUUUUAAUCGGGGUCAAUAAGAUGAUAUAAUUAUUUUUACAAAAUAAUUAAUUUAACAGUUAUUUUUUUCGAACAAUUCUGCUUUAAAUCACUUUAUAAAUAGUUAAUAUCUAGCAGCUAAUCAUUACUAAAA
This 250-nucleotide unclassified non-coding RNA is filed under the name Hevea brasiliensis (rubber tree). The record is from RNAcentral. Lineage: Eukaryota; Viridiplantae; Streptophyta; Magnoliopsida; Malpighiales; Euphorbiaceae.